Molecule: long non-coding RNA, 932 nt
Filed under: Homo sapiens (human)
Lineage: Eukaryota; Metazoa; Chordata; Mammalia; Primates; Hominidae
Description: non-protein coding MAPKAPK5-AS1:16
Source: RNAcentral
AUUCACGCCUGGAAAACGCUCUUCUGAGAGGAUCUGUGGAGGUCAACCCAGGAGAGAGAAGACAGGACUGAAGCACUGAAAGGGUCCUGCCGUUAAGGGCGCAGGAUUGUAUAGAAUAUAUAAUAGCAGUAGCAGCUCUGUUUACGGAGCAUUAACCUUACGUGGAGUUAUUUCCUGCAUUUCCUCCUUUCGUCUUUACAAGGUAGCCGUUUGGCGUCGUGAGAGAUUGGGUCUCUCCACAUUGCCCCGGCUGCUCUCCAACCCCUGAGUUCAAGUGAUUCACCUCCCUUGGCCUCCCAAAGUACUGGGAUUACAGGCGUGAGCCACCGUGCCUGGCUGAGAAGAUGGAUUUAAGACAUAUUUUGGAGGUAACAUUGUCAGGACUUCCUGAAGGAUUAGAUGUGGAAGGGAAGGAUAAGAAACAGACCAAGGAUAACUUUCAAAUGUAUGCUUAAGCAACUGGAUGGAUAAUGAUGCCAUUGAGUGAGUGAAAAACUUGAUGGAAGUGGAAGAUUCAGAGUUCAUUUCUAUCUAGGUUAAUUUGAGACAUACCAGAGCAUAAGUUAAGUAAGUAAUUGAAUAUUGGAGUGGAGACUUAUUUGUCUACCGAAUUAUUGUUUUCUUUGUCGGACAUACACCUACACUGCAUUCCUCAAAGUAAAAUUUAAGUGUGGCUCUGUGCCUAUGCUCUCCCCAGCGGAAAGUGACCAGAAGAGGUGUGCAGUUUCCAGGCCUGGCCCAUACAGACCUCCAACAGGUGCUCCCCUGUGCUGUUACUCCUUCUGCCAACUGGAAGCAGAUGGUGACCAGGCUCUGGAGAAGGCAAGGCCUGAAGAUGGGAGAUUCCUAAGUGGAGGAGAACUGUGCCUUACUGACCUAAAUAUCCACUCAGUAUUGUUAUGUGAGAAUAAAUAAACUUGUGUUGACCGUUU